Long non-coding RNA from Aegilops tauschii subsp. strangulata, 1793 nucleotides. RefSeq lists it as uncharacterized. Lineage: Eukaryota; Viridiplantae; Streptophyta; Magnoliopsida; Poales; Poaceae. The record is from RefSeq and is a predicted model, not a curated record.
UUAUCUUUUUUCUUGUCUCUUGCUCCUCAUUUGGUGGAAGUUUUUGUACUAUACUUCCUUCUUUUAUAAAACUAUAUGGUAUAAAUUUUGUGUACUCUUGAAAAAAAAGAAUGUGUGAAUGUACUGUCCAUUUAAUUAGUGAAGCAAUUUUGUUUUCUCUCAAAACAUUCUCCUUUUUUAGGGAAACAAUAAAAUUCUAUUCGUGGGACCUCUCUUCUCCCUUCCCGCUGAUGCCAUGGCGACGAAGGGGAAAUAAACCCCAUCUGCAGGAACGAGGCUGGCUUGUUCGCACUAGUUCUGCUGACCCACUAAAAUCAGAUCCUUCAUUAAAUUAACACAUCCUGCUUCUCCCGGCGACGGGCAGCGACGGCCGCGGCGAAGGAGGAGAAGGGGAUGAGGGGUUGCGGCCAGAGGGAUGUAUUACGGGGAAAUCCUCGCCGCGCAGGUGUAGGGUCGUCGGAGGGAGAGGGUCGCUGGUGACUGGAUUGCCUGAAACUGCAUCCAUCAAGUUCCUUUUACUAACCACCAUCUCACCACCAUCACCAUGACAAAACUUGCCGCUCUAACGGCAUGCGCCACGACCAUCAUUGCGUCCUUCGUUGUGUUCAUGACGAUGAUUACCCCGUACCCCUUUGGUGCCCACCAUGCCCCCCUUGCUCGGCGAAGAAUCGCAUCCCCAAAAGAAGUGCGUGGACACCAAUGUCCAUGACAAAAUGGAUGGUACAGAUACGUCAUGUACUCACUUGUGUUGGUAUAGAGGUCGUACCUAUUUUUUUAGUGUAUUUAUGGUUCUCUGGUGUGAAUUUGUAAAUGUUGGAGGAGUGGUGGUACAUCAUGCGGAAGAGGAUCCCCAAAGAGGAUGCUGAACUUUGUGGAAACAAACAAAUACUAGAGUGUUCAAUAAUUGUUCACAACAAAUGCCUCUAAUGGAUCUUGCACCUUUAUCAUUUAAGAAUUGGAAAUUUGGGUGGCUGUCACAGGCCAGAGUAUCGCAAGUUUUUGUGAGUAGAAGGGUAUUUGAGUAGACGAACGCUUGUUUUUCUUUUUUUUAAUCCUUUUUCUUGUCUCUUGCUUCUCAUUUGGUGGAAGUUUUGUAUUAUACUUCCUUCUUUUAUAAAACUAUAUGGUACAAAUUUUGUGUACUCUCGAAAAAAAAGAAUGUGUGAAUGUACUGUCCAUUUAAUCAGUGAAGUAAUUUUGUUUUCUCUCAAAACUUUCUCCUUUUUUGGGGGAAACAAUAAAAUUCUCUUCGUGGGACCUCUCUUCUCCCUUCCCGCUGAUGACAUGGUGACGAAGGGAAACAAACCCCACCGGCAGGAGCGAGGCUGGCUUGUUCGCACUAGUUUAGCUGACCCAUUAAAAUCAGAUCCUUCAUUAAAUUAACACAUCCUACUUCUCCCGGCGACGGGCAGCGGCGGCCGCGGCGAAGGAGGAGAAGGGGAUGACAGGUUGCGCCCAGAGGGAUGUAUAACGGGGAAAUCCUCUCCGCGCCGGUGUAGGGUCGUCGGAGGGAGAGGGUCGCUGGUGACUGGAACGGGAUGCAAUGGUGCAGGUCGAGAACUUUCAGAAAAGAGGGUGGCGGUGGCUUCACCACACUAUCUAGUUUGUACAUGUGCUUUAAGCAUUUUUUACUAUUUUGUUUUGCCGGAUUAUUAGUAAAUUCGUUUCGGCUGUUUUAGACCCAAAGUGGUCGGACCCUUCCCCGGACCCUGCAUAAGCAGGAGCUACAUGCACCGGGUUGCCCUUUUUUAUUUUGGUUGUUUACGAGUGUUCAUGGUAUCAGUUUUCAGUAA